Molecule: ribosomal RNA, 765 nt
Filed under: Bacillus subtilis
Lineage: Bacteria; Bacillati; Bacillota; Bacilli; Caryophanales; Bacillaceae
Description: bacterial SSU rRNA
Rfam family: Bacterial small subunit ribosomal RNA
Source: RNAcentral
UAUAAUGCAGUCGAGCGGACAGAUGGGAGCUUGCUCCCUGAUGUUAGCGGCGGACGGGUGAGUAACACGUGGGUAACCUGCCUGUAAGACUGGGAUAACUCCGGGAAACCGGGGCUAAUACCGGAUGGUUGUUUGAACCGCAUGGUUCAAACAUAAAAGGUGGCUUCGGCUACCACUUACAGAUGGACCCGCGGCGCAUUAGCUAGUUGGUGAGGUAACGGCUCACCAAGGCAACGAUGCGUAGCCGACCUGAGAGGGUGAUCGGCCACACUGGGACUGAGACACGGCCCAGACUCCUACGGGAGGCAGCAGUAGGGAAUCUUCCGCAAUGGACGAAAGUCUGACGGAGCAACGCCGCGUGAGUGAUGAAGGUUUUCGGAUCGUAAAGCUCUGUUGUUAGGGAAGAACAAGUACCGUUCGAAUAGGGCGGUACCUUGACGGUACCUAACCAGAAAGCCACGGCUAACUACGUGCCAGCAGCCGCGGUAAUACGUAGGUGGCAAGCGUUGUCCGGAAUUAUUGGGCGUAAAGGGCUCGCAGGCGGUUUCUUAAGUCUGAUGUGAAAGCCCCCGGCUCAACCGGGGAGGGUCAUUGGAAACUGGGGAACUUGAGUGCAGAAGAGGAGAGUGGAAUUCCACGUGUAGCGGUGAAAUGCGUAGAGAUGUGGAGGAACACCAGUGGCGAAGGCGACUCUCUGGUCUGUAACUGACGCUGAGGAGCGAAAGCGUGGGGAGCGAACAGGAUUAGAUACCCUGGUAGUCCACG